Molecule: ribosomal RNA, 432 nt
Filed under: uncultured bacterium
Lineage: Bacteria
Description: partial 16S ribosomal RNA
Rfam family: Bacterial small subunit ribosomal RNA
Source: RNAcentral
AACGAACGCUGGCGGCAUGCCUAACACAUGCAAGUCGAACGAGACCUUCGGGUCUAGUGGCGCACGGGUGCGUAACGCGUGGGAACCUGCCCUUAGGUUCGGAAUAACUCCCCGAAAGGGGUGCUAAUACCGGAUAAUGUCUUCGGACCAAAGAUUUAUCGCCUUUGGAUGGGCCCGCGUUGGAUUAGCUAGUUGGUAGGGUAAAAGCCUACCAAGGCGACGAUCCACAGCUGGUCUGAGAGGAUGAUCAGCCACACUGGGACUGAGACACGGCCCAGACUCCUACGGGAGGCAGCAGUGGGGAAUAUUGGACAAUGGGCGAAAGCCUGAUCCAGCAAUGCCGCGUGAGUGAUGAAGGCCUUAGGGUUGUAAAGCUCUUUUACCCGGGAUGAUAAUGACAGUACCGGGAGAAUAAGCUCCGGCUAACUCAGU